AGUAAACAGUAUAGGAACGGAGCGAAGACGCGCCCCUCCAAUGAGGAAGGAGCGGGGCAGGGGCCCCGCGGAAUCCGAAUAGGAGGUCAGAUUGCGGGAAUGCGAAGCAUGGAGCAAUCUGAGUAAACA
RNAcentral lists this small RNA (129 nucleotides) under Clostridium sp. SY8519. RNAcentral's name for it is "Clostridiales-1 RNA". It matches the Rfam family "Clostridiales-1 RNA". Lineage: Bacteria; Bacillati; Bacillota; Clostridia; Eubacteriales; Clostridiaceae. The record is from Rfam by way of RNAcentral.